GGACCCACACAGAUUUAUAUAAUAUAAUACUGUAACACAUUACAAUUGUUUACUAAUAUAUUAAAAAUACAAAUAGUUAUUUGUGACGAAAGCGUUUAUCUUGUGUUGUCAUGCUUGUCCUAUUAAAGAUACGAAACAAAAAGUGUAAGAGAAGUUAUAAGUGUAAUAAUAUUGAAUGUGGCAAGCAAAAGCAGCUAUAGAAUUAGAAGUAACAGAAUCAUUCUUCAACUUAAGUGAUGCACAUGCAUCCAAAAAGAACACAUUUUGGCUUUGCAGGGGGAAUACAUUUAUAAAUUUCGCAAUCAGGGCUUGAACCACAUUUUUCACCUAUGAUAUUAAACAAGAAUAAAAUAGUAAUGAUUGUCAAAAAUAAAUAAAUAAAUAAAUAAAAUGAUGAAAAAUUGUAUAUAAGGUAAAUACAAAUACGAAAAUGAUUAGAAAAUAGGUUUACCGUAAGCAUCGGCUACAACGAAAAAUAGGGAUAGAAAAAU
RNAcentral lists this long non-coding RNA (491 nucleotides) under Medicago truncatula (barrel medic). RNAcentral's name for it is "lncRNA gene39844". Lineage: Eukaryota; Viridiplantae; Streptophyta; Magnoliopsida; Fabales; Fabaceae. The record is from RNAcentral.